CUCCCUUUGUUUUCAUUUCUUUUGUUUCUUCUAUUUUGUGAAACUUAUUUUUUUAUGUAACACAAUUUCUCUUUGCUGCAAUUUAAGUUUGAUUCUCUGAUAAUUGCAGUCCCCCCUCUCUUAUGAGUUUUACCAAAAUUUUAAUUUUGGAAGAGUCUCGCUACUGCUACCUCGACUAAACCUAUAAAUUAGCUGUUAGAUACCAAAUGUUAGAACAUUGGAGAUUGCACUUAUAAAAAACAUAGAAGCUUUUGAAUUAAACUAUGAUGAAAAGUCAGAUCUUAAUAGUCACUUUGAGUUCAAAUUGCAAACAUGGAUUUUAGUGAGAACAUACGUGAUUGCGUGUGUAUAAAUAUCUAACGAUUUUAUUAUUUAUUUUUGUAUGAUAUGUUUUCAUUGCUUUUAUUGUUUGUUAGCAUACUUUGUGAAAGAAAUCCUUAUGAAGUACGUUUUUCUUCAAUCUCGGUGGAAGUGCGUCAUGUCCAACUAUGUGCAUGGCAUUGUAGGCUUUGAAAUCGAAAAAAGCUUUAGAUCCUUAUUUUUAUUUUCAUUGCCCUUUAUUAGCAUGCUCAUUGAGCUCCAAGUCUUUUGGGGUUCUGUAGUGCUGUUAGAUGGUAUGAGUGAGAGUUUGAAGAUUCAGUGACAUACUAUGAGGAGCAAUCAUACAUUAUACUUUUUUAUAUUUUGUGGAAAAUCAUACGGUAGGUAUUUGUUCCAAGGUAAGCAAGUUGACAAAUCUGAUGUAGCAAAGAACCAAAGACGAAAUGAAAAACUCACAAGAAAAUUGGUGAAUCCAUCAUAGCAUUUAUUGUAUAUCCUAAAUUUCCUUUACCUUAGUAUACUGAGAAUACACAAGGAAUUGGUGAGAAUAAAGAACUUAUAUGUAGUGAUGCAGUAGCAUUUAUAGCAAUCCUUAAGCUCCUUCAGCGGAUUAUACUGAGAAUACCCACGAAAUUGGUGAGCAUAGUAGAAGUUUGCAAUGGACUAAGUUGUUAGAUUAUUAUUAGGAGUUUUUUCCCUUAUUAAUUAGGUAACUUGAUUUAUAGUAGAAUUAUGGUUUCGUCUAGUCGAUAUAAACUAAUGUAAUUUCAUGCUUUUCUAGAGUUGACUGUAUUACUCCCUCAGCCUUAGAAGCAUGUGUGUAAGUGCAAGUUUUUUCCCCCUCCAAAUGAUGGCUUUUUAAUACACAAGUCAAAUUAAAAUGUACUUUAAAUCUAGAAAAAGGAGAGGAGAAAACUCUGAACAAAACAGUGUAUUCAUGUAUCAAGAACCGUAAUGCAGUGAUUCAUCUUUUGACAUAGAAAGAUGAAUGAUCUCAAGCCUAGAUUCGUAUUUUAGACGUUUAAAUUAUAGUAGUAGAUUUUUAGUUAGGAGAAUUUUUUUUUUAAAUUAGGAUUUUUAUUAUAGUAAUAAAUUUUAAUUAGGAGAUUGAUUUUAAUUGGCAAAACUAAUGAUUAUCCCACUAUAGUGGACACUUUUUACUUAAUACAUCAUUGAACUUUUAAUUUUUGCAAUUACCACAUUAAACUAACUAAAAAAGUAAAAUCGAACCAUUUCGUUAAAUUGUCCAAACCUGUCAAACUAUUUCAAGUUUUUUUCCUACAUGGCUGAUAAAAAAAUAGAAAUAGAAAAAGAAAAUAAAAUAAUGACCUGUUCUGCGCCUACAUAGUAUUUUUUUUUUGGUGAAGCACCUACGUAGAGAGCUUCGAAUGUCAUGAAUUAACAACAUUAGAGAACUCGCCACCAGAGAUGGCGAAACCCAACCAGUAGCAUUAGAGAACUUGUCGCGGGCGAUGGCAAACCCCCCUGAACGUUCCCAUCCGACUCAUCAUUUUUUUUAUCGCCGAUCAUCUCUUAGUAACGAAGAAUGCGACGUUAGGAUUUAGGGUUUCUAAAUCCACCAAUUGUUUCUUCAACAAUCUGUCGGUGCCCCCCCCUACCCAAUCCAACCGCCACAGACGACUGCGGUUCAAGGAAUUGGGAUAGAAACUAGUGUUUACUACCGCCGGAGGUGAAGUUUAUUGGGGCCGAUGAGGAUUUUUUACGUGAAGAUGAAGAAUCUUGAUUUGCUGUUCAACAACAAGAUUAUAGUUCAUGGACUUGCAGGGCAGUUUAGACAUUCUAUUUUUUUCACCAGCCACGUAUGAAAUUUCUAGAGCAAAUGUAAUGAGCGUUUAAUUAUUUUAAUAGAAUCGUCUAAUUUCAAUUUCUAAUUAAUUCAAUGUGGUAAUUGCAUUUUUUUUAAAAUUUAGUGUUGUAAUAAGUAAAAUAUGCCAACUGCUGUGGGGAAAUCAUUAGUUUUGCCGAUUUUAAUUAUAAAUUAGAAUUUAAUUAGGAGAUUGAUUUUAGUUAUAAAUAGUUUGAUACUCCGUGCGAGGCACGUGCUAGUUUAUAUCGUUCUUUUCAUAAAUAUUUGAUAAUUUUUUAUUGAUAUGUAUUUAUCAUUUUUUAUUGACAUAAUACAUAUAUAAUGUUGAAGAUAAUUUGAAUCAGCAUAUAACUUUUAGUAUUUCAAGAAGAAAUGUAACGCCCCCAAAUCCAGGUCUGCCCGGAUUCGUCCUUCAAAUAACCUGACUGAUAAUUCAAUUCUCGUGAACAGAUGACCAACUUUCUUUUUCUUCCAUUUUCUUCCAGAAUGAACGGGCAGUGUCUUGACAUUUUUUUUCAAAUACCCCAUCCAUGCUUAUAUGUGAAUCUUUUAUCAGUAUCUCGUUGACUAUUUUCUAUCUCAAUAAAUCUUUCCUGCAAUUGGCCCACGUCAUUAUCCAUGAAGACCAAAAAUAUUAAUUUAGCAUUUAUUCAUUUUUAAUUAUUUUAUUCUUAGUUAAUAAUUACCUGAAUUCUUCAUUUCUGCAAUUGACUAUUUUCGUGAUCUACCUUGUCAAAUUAUAUAUAUAUAUAUAUAUAUAUAUAUAUAUACAUAUAUAUAUAUAUUGGGUUUUACCACUUUUAUCUACUGUUCAUGACGGAUUACUAUUCAUGCCGGAGUACUAUUCAUGACAGAAGUUAAUUUUUCUUGUCCAAAUUUGCCCAAAUCAUUAAUAUUAAUCAUAUUGAUUUUAACAUUAAACAUUUAUUUAUUUAACUUUUCUCCCUUAUUUUGUAAUUUCAAAUGCUCAAAUUAGGAUUCCUAGUUCUUAUAUUCUAGGAUUUUCUUUCCCGUUUUCGCUAAAAGUUUAUGUUCUUAUGCAUGAUUUUUGCUGCAUUAACACAUCAUAUAUUAUUUUACUAUGUUGUGAGGAAUGUAUCAACAUCAUAUAAAAUAUAUAAAAAAGAAUACUUAAAACAUACCUUCUAAUUUUGUUUUUCUACGUUUUUCCCAUUUUUUCUUGUUCUGCUAAUGUUCAGCUGUGGCCUCCUCUUCAUUUUUCUUUCUCACGCCUCUUCUCCCACUCUUAUUUCUGACUUCCCUCUUUUUCCUUCUUUUAGGAAUAUAUAUAUAUAUAUAUAUAUAUAUAUAUAUAUAUAUAUAUAUAUAUAUCUUUACUAGGAGAAUAAGUAGGGAGAAGGGUACGUGUAUAUCUAUAUAUAUAUAUAAUUUAUAUAUAAAUCACUUACCUAGCAUUCAUUUAAUAAGUAGGGAAUGCAGGUGACUCUAUGUAACUCCGUUAGAAGAAGAAUAGGUAGAUGAUACCUAUUUCCCAUGUGAACCUUCAACUAAAAU
This 3664-nucleotide long non-coding RNA is filed under the name Panax ginseng (ginseng). Its description in RNAcentral is "long non-coding RNA (PGIN_LNC007489)". Lineage: Eukaryota; Viridiplantae; Streptophyta; Magnoliopsida; Apiales; Araliaceae. The record is from RNAcentral.